GACGAACGCUGGCGGCGUGCUUAACACAUGCAAGUCGAACGAAGUGGCGAACGGGUGAGUAACGCGUAAUCAACCUGCCCUUCAGAGGGGGACAACAGUUGGAAACGACUGCUAAUACCGCAUACUGAAGGAGGGGAUUGCGUCUGAUUAGCUAGUUGGCGGGGUAACGGCCCACCAAGGCGAUGAUCAGUAGCCGGUCUGGGCGGAUGAACGGCAGAAGUGGGACUGAGACACGGCCCAGACUCCUACGGGAGGCAGCAGUUGGGAAUCUUCCGCAAGGGACGAAAGUCUGACGAGGCAACGCCGCGUGAGUGAUGACGGCCUUCGGGUUGUAAAGCUCUGUUAAUCGGGACGCGGUACCGGAAUAGAAAGCCACGGCUAACUACGUGCCAGCAGCCGCGGUAAUUC
RNAcentral lists this ribosomal RNA (408 nucleotides) under uncultured bacterium. RNAcentral's name for it is "partial 16S ribosomal RNA". It matches the Rfam family "Bacterial small subunit ribosomal RNA", at positions 28 to 526 of the family's 1533-position model. The record is from RNAcentral.